RNAcentral lists this ribosomal RNA (253 nucleotides) under uncultured prokaryote. Its description in RNAcentral is "partial 16S ribosomal RNA". It matches the Rfam family "Bacterial small subunit ribosomal RNA", at positions 525 to 777 of the family's 1533-position model. The record is from RNAcentral.
ACGAAGGGUGCAAGCGUUACUCGGAAUUACUGGGCGUAAAGGGUGCGUAGGUGGCUUUUUAAGUCUGCUGUGAAAUCCCCGGGCUCAACCUGGGAAUGGCAGUGGAUACUGGAAAGCUGGAGUGCGGUAGAGGGUAGUGGAAUUCCCGGUGUAGCAGUGAAAUGCGUAGAUAUGCGGAGGAACACCAAUGGCGAAGGCAGCCCUCUGGGCCAACACUGACGCUCAUGCACGAAAGCGUGGGGAGCAAACAGGA